RNAcentral lists this ribosomal RNA (253 nucleotides) under uncultured bacterium. Its description in RNAcentral is "partial 16S ribosomal RNA". It matches the Rfam family "Bacterial small subunit ribosomal RNA", at positions 524 to 776 of the family's 1533-position model. The record is from RNAcentral.
UACGUAGGGCGCGAGCGUUGUCCGGAUUUAUUGGGCGUAAAGAGCUCGUAGGCGGCUUGUCGCGUCGACUGUGAAAUCCCGCGGCUCAACUGCGGGUCUGCAGUCGAUACGGGCAGGCUAGAGUUCGGUAGGGGAGACUGGAAUUCCUGGUGUAGCGGUGAAAUGCGUAGAUAUCAGGAGGAACACCGAUGGCGAAGGCAGGUCUCUGGGCUGACACUGACGCUCAUGCACGAAAGCGUGGGGAGCAAACAGG